GGGAAAAGCCAUAUUCACAAGAUUACAAUAAGUGAGUUUUAGGCCUUGGCCUUCAGGGUCCUGGAGUGUAAAGACUAGAGGAAAGGAGACCAAGAAAUCCUAACCUUACAACUUAGCAAAAAACUGAAUCUUUUUUAUAAGGGUCAGAGCUUUAGAAAAUUUUUUUAAACCUAAGCUAAACAAAGAAUGGCAAAAGAAAAUGCCACUUUUAUCGAAGCCUUUAUUUUUAUUGCAACUGAUUAUUUUCUGUUAGUGUAGAAAACUCAGUAAAACAGGAUGUGUUCUAGAAAUAUUGUCUAGGAGAUAUAAUCAUGUUUUCUGAUAAAUUGACAGAAAAGGAAAAAUUUUGUAUAUUAUUAUAGCAUUGUGUGCAGUUUGCAGUUAGAGCCACUAUGGAUAGUAAUUGUCAUUAUUCUUAGUUGCUUAUCAUUUUAUUUAGAAUUUGUGAGUUUAAGCUUCCAUUUUAAGGUGAAAUCAGUUAGUUUGAACACACAAUAAAUAAGGUUAAUAAAGCUUAUUUAUUGAUCAUUUCUGUCCACCUACAAUCAUUGCCUUUUGCAGGGUGCCUGUGAGAUACAAAAUUUAUAAUUGCCACAUCCUUAGGAAUUUUUAAAUUUCUGUUUUCUUGUAAUAUGAAUAUGACUAAUGUAUUGAACAUUAGUUAUGGAGUAUUUUUCUUAGCUACUUGAUAUUAGAUAUUGAUCAGUGGAAUAAAGUUAUUGAACAGCUUGGAACACCAUGUCCUGAAUUCAUGAAGAAACUGCAACCAACAGUAAGGACUUACGUUGAAAACAGACCUAAAUAUGCUGGAUAUAGCUUUGAGAAACUCUUCCCUGAUGUCCUUUUCCCAGCUGACUCAGAACACAACAAACUUAAAGGUACUUUUUACAAAUAUGUACAUUUAAUCCCAUUUGGGGUGUGUAGUGUGUGUGUAUGGGUUUGUGUGUUUAUAUGUAUUCAUAUUCUUAUGGGACAUGAACCCAAGGUUUUCUCUGGAUGGUGGGGAAAAAAAUGAGGUUUUUGUUUUUUUUUUCUUUAAUUUUAUAUAUUUUAAUCAUAUGUAUAAGAUAAUUUUACAGUAAUAUUUUUAAAACAUAUGCUUUUUAAAAAAUCUCAAAUUAUUAAUAAUUUGAGAAUCUUUACAAAUAUAUGUACAUUAACAUCAUUAUGUUUGCAGCCAGUCAGGCAAGGGAUUUGUUAUCCAAAAUGCUGGUAAUAGAUGCAUCUAAAAGGAUCUCUGUAGAUGAAGCUCUCCAACACCCGUACAUCAAUGUCUGGUAUGAUCCUUCUGAAGCAGAAGCUGUAAGUUAUUUUCUUAAUGUUUACAGAACAUAUUGCAUUCUUAGAGUUAGAAUGACAAUUAGGUUUGGAGGAGACCUUUUAAUUUUAAAUAAAAAUGUAGAUACAUGAUGAUGAUGUUUUUCUGUUUCUUCAUGAAGACUACGUCAAAUAAACUAAUGAACAUAUUCGAGCCCCUCCUACACAAAAUAAAGUUACCUCCCACUGUUUUUUGCAAUCUUGCCUGGAUACCUAACCAGAGAACUAGGAUGUUGAAUGCUCUGGGGGACCAUCCUAACUCAGGUAUAAAACAAAUUACUGUAUCCAAAGGAAGACAGAAUUCUAUGAUCUGUGAUAUAAAUAAAAUGUGGCAAUUUCAAGAGCUAGAAGAAAAGAAAAAAGACAGUUAAACAUUUUAUUUCCUGCAAUGAAGGAGUCUUCCUAAACUAUUAUGUCUGUAUAAGUAAGUUGAUGAUUGAUCAGUCUUGAUCUAAUGAUAUAUUUUUAUAAGUCAUCUGUCUGGCUAAUAUUUCAAAUAACUACAAAGAGUUAAAAUACUCCCAGCAUACUGACUUGGUUAUUAUUGCCUUGUGUUUUUCAGCCACCACCAAAGAUCCCUGACAAGCAGUUAGAUGAAAGGGAACACACAAUAGAAGAGUGGAAAGAAUUGAUAUAUAAGGAAGUUAUGGACUUGGAGGAGAGAACCAAGAAUGGAGUUAUACGGGGGCAGCCCUCUCCUUUAGCACAGGUGCAGCAGUGAUCAAUGGCUCUCAGCAUCCAUCGUCAUCGUCGUCUGUCAAUGAUGUGUCUUCAAUGUCAACAGAUCCGACUUUGGCCUCUGAUACAGACAGCAGUCUAGAAGCAUCAGCUGGGCCUCUGGGCUGCUGUAGAUGACUACUUGGGCCGUGGGGGGGUGGGAGGGAUGGGGAGUCGGUUAGUCAUUGAUAGAACUACUUUGAAAACAAUUCAGUGGUCUUAUUUUUGGGUGAUUUUUCAAAAAAUGUAGAAUUCAUUUUGUAGUAAAGUAGUUUAUUUUUUUUAAUUUCAAGUGAUGUAAUUUAAAACCUAAGUUGUGUUUCAAAACAGCAACAAAACUGUAUUGUAUUUUUUUGCUGUAAUUAACUGUAUAAUGUAAACCUAAUUAUUUUAUCAUGGUUUAAAUUUUUUGCAUAUUUGCUUUAUCUUAUGCUGCUGAUUUUUUUUAACUGAAUUUGUAAGAUUUUGUUUAUCAAAGCAACUAUUAUGUGGUGACUUGCCUAUAUCAUGAAUUAUUUAAGAUUUUUAUAGUUUUUUUUAAUUAGAAUUUAUUUCAGAUGUUUUGUUCAUGAUACUAUCCUUCAGGGUUAUGUGCUUAUCAAUGAAAUAACCCCAGAGGAGUGAGGGAAAAUAACUUGUAGCCAGUUAUAUUCAGGAAUAACUACUGUAAAUGAUGAACGUGUUAGGAGACCUCCAAUAUUUGCUACUUGCCAAUCCUAAUUUAGUUACAAGAAUUGGUAGGCAAUGCUACUUAAUUUUGGCAAAAGCCCCGUCAUCUAAAUGGCAGAAUAACUCAGAGCAUGUCUUUGAAGAUGCUGGGCGUCUACCACCACCUUAUGUCCCCACCCUACCCAACAAAAAUAAGUAAAAAGGAUAUGGUGUAUUCUACAAAUUUGUGGCAUGCUCAAAGUUUAUGAUCACAUAAAGUCAAGAGGAUACUUCAUGAAUAAUACAUUUCAAUGCAAAUAAACAGAUGGUUCACUUCUACUAGCUAUGAGCCUGUUUUUGUAUACACUGAGUUAAUCUACUCAGGCUGUAGGUCCCAGCAAUGUUCUAGAGUCCGGUCUUUCCCUUUCCUGCAGCUUCGGGUCCUUGGACCUUUCCUGUUUCCUAUUACUUGGAGUAUCUGUCAGUUGAGCACCAGUUGUUCUGGUGUUUCAUUUGAUUCUACUUGUAGCAUAAUCAUUUAUACGAGCUAUUGGGAGGUUCCAAACCCUGCCUAGAUUUGUGUAGGUGAUGUAUCAAAUGAGCAAUAUACCGUUCAUCUGAAAAUAGUAGCACACAGCCAUAUAUAGGAUAUCAUUUUCUAAGGACUGUUUCUUCACAUUGAGCAGAGCAGGCAUAAAUGGUGGUUAUUUAGUCUAAGUCUUUUAUUUUUUUAUACCUGAUUUUCAACAUAACACGCAAUGUGGAUGUCGAGUAGUGUUAAGAAUGGUGCUGCUCCUGACAAGUGUAUGUUAACUGUUUACAUUUUCUAUCUGCAGAAUUAUUUCUCUAUUACUGAACUUUUCCUAAGUAAAAUGUCUUUGAAGUCUCGUUAUUUCUGAAA
Molecule: small RNA, 3583 nt
Filed under: Pan troglodytes (chimpanzee)
Lineage: Eukaryota; Metazoa; Chordata; Mammalia; Primates; Hominidae
Description: retained intron
Source: RNAcentral